UCACCGAAAUACUUGUAUCAUUAUUAAAUGUUGCCUAUACAUUAUUUCACUAGAAACCAAUCUGAAAAUAAGGUGAUGGUUGUGUUUGUGUACCGCAGGAGGUGGAGUUAAUCAGGAGCAUCCAGGCUCUGUUGAAGAGAACGCUGAGUCAGGCUGUCAAUCAAAUCAAGAACAGAACGUACAUAAACCAAAAAUCAACUCGCUGAUGGGACGUUCCAUUAUAAGGAGAGUGGCCAGCUCCAAGGCAAGUCUGCAAACCGUCAAGUUUUACAUUUCCACAAUAAUGUUAACGUUAAAUAUAAGCAUUAUUUUAUCAAUAACAGUAUACAAUAUCAAUGUAUAACUGUACUUCGCUAUUUUAAACUCGUCAAAGGGAAAAAGAGUUCCACUGGGGUGAACAGAGGGUGGGCAUUUCCCAACUCCCUUCCGGAACCGUAUUUUAACCCCGGGAUUCAGGUCGGACCUCCUUUAUCAGCACACCGUGGCAUCCAUCACUGCUGAGGAAUAGAGAUACAGAGCUGUGAAACCCUGUCUGCAGAUGAAGAGCAAUGGUUCCCAGUCCUGUUCCUGGGGUCUCAAAGGGAUGCCUUGCAACUGGAGAUUUCUUAAACAAUUGCCUACAGUUACUGUGUAGGGCACUGCACAGUUGGGUGACCACGGCCAUCUGGGACUGCCUCGUGGGGGAUUUCAGGCAUCUGUGAAGACUACCUGUGUCCUGCAUAACUUCAUGAUGAUGAACAGGAGGGGACCUGCAGCGCUCCGCCGUGUGCCAGAAAAGAGGUCUGCUGCUCUGCAGGAUGUUGCCAGGAUGGGGGCCAACAACGCGCACAGGAGGCAAUCUGUGUGCAGGAGACCUUCACCUCCUACUUCUUCGCAAAUGAUGCUGUUCCCUGGCAACACCAUAGACCACACUAUGCACAACCAAAGGCUCUUUUAAGAGCCAUCCACAUUGCAAUAAGAGUAUUCUUCAAUUUACUUAGCUAUGUCAACUGAAGUUAUUCAUUUCAGUUCCUGUGAUUUCUACUUCGCCGGUGAGGGUGCUGUUUAGGUAGGUGUGGUGUCUGUACAAAUACAAAACAGGCUCUUUUAAGAGUCACCCAUAUUGAAAACAUUUAGAACAAUUAGACACCCUAUAAGCCACACCUACACACUUGUCUAUCAAUCUGAUUUAUGUGUUGUGUAGGAAGCAGGCUCCGGUGUAUAACUGUGGCUCCUUCCACCUUCAAAAAAUAGACAAGAGGACAUACCAUGGAGAAUACUGUGUCGGUGAACUCCCAUGUCUGAACUGGCUCCAUAGAGGGCACAGCAUGAUCAGAGGUAUGUUUUGAUGUGAGAGAGUAUGCCAACGGCCAGACCCAUCAUCGCCACCUCACCCGCUGUUACAAUAACCUUCAGGCCACCUCUAGAGACACUUAUGUAAAACAUUUCACGUUCUCUACUGGUUGAAGUCUCUCAUUUGAUGAAAUACCACACCUAUCCUUUCCUCAAAUCAGUGCAGAUGAAGGAAAUUGGAUAGAUGAACCUAUUUACAUGAUGCAUAGGAAGUGUAAUGUACUGUGUUUUUAAAAAUUCUGUUUCUGUAUAUAUGAAUUACAAAUCAGCCUUUUAACUAGUUAAAUCAUGUUUCUAGUCUAUUGCAUAGUUAAUAUGUAACCAAGCAUUGAUGUCCCAGGACCAAGAUUGGUAAACACUGUUGAAGUG
This is a long non-coding RNA of Oncorhynchus gorbuscha (pink salmon), 1701 nucleotides long. RefSeq lists it as uncharacterized. The record is from RefSeq and is a predicted model, not a curated record. The transcript has 6 exons. Lineage: Eukaryota; Metazoa; Chordata; Actinopteri; Salmoniformes; Salmonidae.